AAAAUCUCAUUUUUAAAAGAAAAUGCGGUAUUUUUUACACUUUCGGAAUCUGAGCUUAACAGAAUUCUCAUGAGCAGUUGAAGAUACCCCACCAAUAUUUCCUUUCGGAGAGGAGUCCUGGAUGCUAAAACUGAACUAAUAAUUCCUCAGCCAGAGUUCCUGCAGGUAGGAAAAACAAACAUUACCCCAUUUUUGUGGGGAUCUUCUCUGUCUGUGGGUUCUGCUAAUAGAGAAGACUGCCCUGAGCUUCCGUCUUGAGAGAUAUUUCAGUAAAAUCACAUUUGGAUGAGGUUUUGGGAUUUGCAGUUUUCAUAAUCUCCUUGGUGAUUCAGAAAUGCAGUUGGGUUUAGAAAUGAUUUCUCUUGGCCCAGUUGCAGCUUCCGUUAGUGUUGUACAAUACAGUGACUGUAGAACAGAAACAGCACCAUCCUGAACUACGUAUGAGUGAUCCUGACAAUCCCAGAACAUAGCCUUUGGUUUAGAUUUACACGGUAGCGGUCUCCCGCGUUGGCCUGAUGAGGGACUCUGGGUGUCUCUGGCCUGACAGUCGGCCAUGUUCCUAUGCCAUUAGGAUCAGGCAGCUCUUAAAGUUGGCAAGGCGGCUUCAGUUUCAGAUAAUAAUUUUCGGCAGGUAGAAAACCGCUAUACCAAGUUGAGUAAAUUAAUUUUGCUUGCCCAACGACAAAAAUCUGAAAACAGGAAAUAAGUGAACCCAACGACAAAAAUCUGAAAACAGGAAAUAAGUGUUACAAGUUUAUUUUUGCUAUCUAUGCUAGCCAAAUGAAUGCUGACAUCACUUUCUCUAUUUAAGGAACCGUUGUUUAUUCUCAAUGAGCAACUUGAUAUACUAUAUAAAAUGCAUUUUAAUUAUGUUUCUUUCUUUAGCCUUUGCCCUCUCAGGCUUUUUACAAAAAGCAGGAGCAUCUAAAAACAUUUUUGAUGUUAUUUUUAAGAUGCAAUCCAAGAACUUGUCGAUUUGCCAGCAUGCAGUAGUAUUAUGAAAUUAUGCUUAGCCUGACCAUGGAUAUUUUGGGAGGAAAGAUCUACAGUCUAGCCGUCAUUUUGUUUCAGGCUUAAAGUAGUGGAAGGGGAUAAAAUAAUGCGUAAUGUUCUCUUAUCCGCCUCAGUUUCUCCCACACUGAUGUCUUACACUUGUAACAACGACUAUAAAACUCCCUCUAGCUUGUGAGUCCUUUAGUGUCAAAAUUCGGUAAACUUUUCUUUUCUUUUUUUGUUUUGUUUUCUGUUGUUGUUGUUAUUUUUUUGGCUUUUUAGGGCCACACCUGCAGCACAUGGAAGUUCCCAGGCUAGGGAUCUAAUCAGAGCUACAGCUGCCGGCCUAUACCACAGCCACAGCAACGCAGGAUCUGAGCCACAUCUGUGACCCACACCACAGCUCAUGGCAACACCAGAUCCUUAACCCACUGAGCAAGGCCAGGGAGCGAACCUGCAAUCUCAUGGUUCCUAGUCAGAUUUGUUUCCACUGCACCACGAUAGAAACUCCAAAUCAUAUAACCUUUUCAAACAGCAGGUGUCCAACCUUUUGUGUUUGCAUCAUGCUUGUGAUAACUGGACUCUUUUUUUUUGGACAUAGUUAAGAGGUUUACCUAUUCAAAAUGGGAUAUGUGCAAGGUAUUACCAGUUAUUUAUUGUUCUCAUGGAUAUCAGUCUUAGCAUCAAAAGUAGUGGGACAGCCAAACAUUAUGUGCCUCCUGAUGUGUUGCAAUACGAAAUUUAUAACACCGCCUACAAAGUGGUCUUGCCAAAAAUGCUUAACUGAAGCUAAUCGAGCUUUGAGCUUUAACUUCCAGCUUACAGAAAAUUCAAAGGAAAGGCAAGAGUAAAAUGAUACUGUAUCCUCACGUCCCACAGUCCAUCACAUAAUAGUGCAAAUCCCCCUGCCUUAUCACUCCUCAUUGCACUUGCCUGACAAAACCUCAGUCUGGUUAAACCCAGUAUUCUAUUCCCUGGGCCAACUGCAUGCCUACCUCUGAGCAGCUGCUUGUGGCUCAUAGAAGGCGCAUCACUGUGCUGACUCCUAGCAUUUUGAAUCUCUGACCACAAACCUCAAGUGAGCCCCUGGGACUCCUCAGCAAUUCCACUCUCUUCAAACCUCCAAAACCACUUUCCUCUUCCUCACUCUCAACUGAUCAGCUCACUUCUCAUUUUACUGAGAAAAUAAAAGCAGUCAUUAGAGAACUUCCUCAUCUGCUCACCAUAAAAUCUAUGCUUCUACCUUCAGCUUUACCUUAACUUUUUCAGCCUUCCUUUUUCAGGAGUAGAUAAACCUACCGUGCUCCAGUCUAGGGCUUAACCCCUUCCUUUCAUCCCCAGUCAUUACUCAGGGACUUUGUUCCUGCAGCUUUCCCUCUUUUUUUAAUCUGUCAAAUUUCCCCAUAAAUUGGAUCAGCAUCAACAAGGCUGUGAUAUUUUUAUCCCUUAAUCUUGGUGCUGUGCUUUACAUUAUAGCAAAAUUCCAGGAAAGCUGUGUCUAAAUUCAGCUUCUUACUCCCUCAUUUUUCCUACCUCCUCCCACCCUCAAAAUUAGAAUAGUAUAGUGAGUAUCUUUGUCCCUACUGCCUAGUUUCAGACACACUUAGAGCUCUUUUCUGUCUCUCCUGGGUCACAGCCCCUUCCAUCAUGCCUUACCCCAGCGGUAGCUCAGUUCCCCUGCAGCAGGAGGCAUGGUUGAUGGUUGCUCCCAUUAAUGACUGUGCAUGGUGGAGAUACAGGUUCAGGCCCAUUUUUGUUUGAUGUAAGACUUCUCCAAAAGGUGACUGGCUUAGGGACUCCUCAUCAGCCUGGCCAGGACAUUCUUCCAUCCCUGCUGCAGACUGAGUCUCUCUCACCCAACCCUUCUUUUUUUCUCUAUCUCCUUUCACAGGGUGCCAUUCCUGCAUUGGGGCGUGAAGGGUUUUCUCAUAACUCCCACUUCUUCCACUUUAUUCUUCACAGCCAUUUCUCCUAAAAGUUUCCUGCCACCUAAUCCUAUCCUGAUAACACAGACACUAUCCUGAUUUGGGUGUUUAUUAUUUCAUGUUUGUCUGUCUUUCUGACUUUUUUUUUAAGGCUGCCCCUGCUGCAAUUGGAAGUUCCUAGUCUAGGUGUCAUAGUGGAGCUGCAGCUGCCACCCUACUUCACAGUCACAGCAACACUAGGUCCGAGCUGCUUCUGUGACCUACACCACAGCUCACGGCAGAACAAAUCCUUAACCUGCUGAGCAAGUCCAGGGAUCGAACCUACAUCCUCAGGAAUACUAGUUCGGUUCUUAACCCACUGAGCCUCAAUGGGAACUCUUGUCUUUCUGUCUUUUAUAUGUUCAUAUGUUAUUGUUUUAUGCUAUCAAGAUUUGUAGACAGUCUCUGUAUCUUGCUUUUUUUGCACAAUGAUAUUUAAGAUUUAUCUAUGUUGAAUUAUAUAGCUGAUAAUUCAUUUUAUGCUGUAUUAGUAAUUAUAUAAAUAUAUUCUAAUUCAUUUAUUCCUUCUCUGUUAAUGCACAUAUAUGCUGUUACAAACUUUUGCUGUUAUAAUGUUGCAAAGAACACUCUUUUAUCUAUCUCCAUUGUAUCCUCCUGUAAGAAUUUCUCUGUGACAUAUAGGAGUUAAAUGCUGAGUUGUAGCGUAUGUGCAUCUUUGACUUCACAAGGUAUUGUCAAAUUGUUCUCCAAAAUGAUUGUUUCAAUUUUCACUCCUACUAGCAGCAAAUGAGAUGUUCUUGCUUGCCUAUAUUCUUGUCAUCUCUUGCUAUGUCAGAUUUUUUGGUUUUGGCUAAUAUGAUGGGUCUCUCUCACCCAAGAUAAAAGUAUCUUAGCAUGGUUUUAAUGUGCAUUUCCCUGAUUACUAGUGAGAUAGAGAAAUUUAUUUUAUGUUUAUCAGCCCUCUUCUUUGCAAUACAUGUUUUUCAUAUUGACAUUGGAAUUCUUUAUAUAUUCUGGAUAUCAAUGUUUUGUCAGUUAUCUUCAUUGCAAAUAUAUGAUUCCAGGCUGUGACAUGUCUUUUCACUUUAUUUAUGGCAUCUUUUGAAUCACAGAAGUAUAAAAUUUUAAUGUAGUCAAAUAUUUCAAUCUUUUCCUUUAUGGCUCUCUCUCUCUCUCUUUCUGUGUCUUCUUUUUAAUGUGCCUCAUUUCAAAAAUUCUAGUCUAUACUGAGAUCAUAAAUAUAUUCUCACAAUUUAUCCCAGAAGAUUUAAAAUCUGCCUUUCACAUUUAGAAUUUCAGUGUAUUCGGAAUUGAUUUUUGUUACCUAAUAAUCCAAUUCAUUUUUUUUUCAGUUUGAAUAACAAUUAACCCAGCAUCUAUUUUGAGUAGUCUAGCCUUUCCUUGCUGAUCAGUAAUGCCAUAUAUCAAGUAUCCAUAUAUUUGGGUCUUUUUAUGAGCUCUUUAUUUUGUUUUAUUGAUCUAUUUGUCCAUUCUAGCACCGUUAUCACACCUUUAAAAAAUUAUUACAGUUUUAUGAUUCUUGCCAUCUGUUUUUCUUCAAAUCUGUCUUGGCUCUUCUUGAUUUUUGCAUAUCUGUAUAAGUUUAAUAUCAGCUUGUUAUGUUCUGUGAGAAACCCUAUUGAGAAUUUGAUUGGAAGAGCAUUGAAGUAGCCAAUUAAUAUGGAAAAAAAUGGACAUCUUUACAAAACUGACUCUUUCUACACACAAAUAUGGUUUAUCUCUUGAUUGAUUUGUUCAGAUCUUUAAUUUCUUUCAAUAAAGAUUUACAAUUUUAUUCUAAGUCUCUUUGAGAUUGCAAAUGGCUUUAAGGUUUUUGCACUUUGUUAUUGUGUGUAGUAAUCCUGUUGAUUAUUGAACAUUGGUCUUCUAUCUAGCAAUAUCAGUGAUCUCUCUUAUUGAUUAUAAUACUUGGAUGACAUAUUCUUUUGGUCUUCCUGUGUGGAAGUUAUAUCACAUGUGAGGAAAGAUAGUUUUAUUUCUCUCUUUCUAAUCCCAGUGCUCAAACUAACACCUCUAGUAUAUAUCUCAUUUUUUUUUUUUGGUCUUUUUAGGGUCGCCCCUGUGGCAUAUGGAGGUUCCCAGGCUAGGGGUCGAAUCGGAGCUACAGCUGCCAGCCUACAACCACAGCCACAGCAAUGCCAGAUCCAAGCCAUGUCUGCAACCUACACCACAGCUCACGGCAACACUGGAUCCUUAACCCACCGAGCAAGGCCAGGGAUCGACCCUGCGUCCCCAUGGAUGCUAGUCAGAUUCGUUUCUGCUGAGCCACGACAGGAACUCCCUCAAUCUCAAUUUAAUCGGGCUUUCAUUCUCAUCAAUGCACUGAAACCUUUUUUAUUGGAGUCAUCAAUAGCCUUCAUGUUAGUAAAUCCAGUGGUUAAAUCUCAGUCCUCAGUUUACUCAACCUCUCAGCAUCGAUAACUAUGACUAUACCUCCUUUCUUCACUUCUUCUGGGACAACAUCUCCCAGUUUCCUCCUAAGCCCUUGCUGCCUAUUCUCAGUCUCUCUUGCUGUUUCCUCGUCAUGUCCUAAUCAGUCAGUUUGGAAUGAUCCGGUGCUAGAUCCUUCAACCUUCCCUUUUCUCAUUACACUCACUCUCCAGGGGAUCUCACUCAGCCCAGGAGCCCUUAACUCAACUUUCCGUCUCUAGCACCACUCUCUCUUGAAUGCUACCCUUUUUUAGGCAGUAGUCAGCUCAACACUUUUACUUGGAAGGCUAAUUGUCAUCUCACACUAAGCAAACCCAAAACACGCACUUUGACCUCUAUCCCCACAAUAAGAUCUUCCCCAAAGAUUCUUUAUUUUGGCGACUAUCAGCACCAUUUGUCUGCUGCCAGAGCCCAAAACAUAAUCUUCAACUUAGAUUUCUUUUUCUCCUACAUCCAAUAUUCAAUGUAUUUGCAAAUCCUAUUGACUCAGCCUUAAAAAUACAUUAUAAAUCUGACCACUUCUCAUCACUUCUUUGCCCCUACCUUGGUCUGAGGGGCUAUCAUUUUUUCCCCCCGAUCUAAUGCAGUAACCCAUCCAGCUGAUCUCCUUGUUUCCACCUUGUCCCACUACAGUCAUAUUCCAUACAGCAGCUGAAAUGAUUUUCUACAAACAGAGAUAAACCUGGUGAUUUCCAUGCUCAAAACUUUCUGAUGACUCGUUGUCACACUUGGAGUAUAAUCAAGUAUCUUCCUGUGGCACAAAGUCUCAUGUGAACUGACCUUUGGGGACUUUCUGACCUCAUUUUCUAUCUUCCCUUCAUUUAUUCCAUUUAAGCCAACUGUCUUCAAGCAUAGCAAAGCUUCAGAGCCUGUGUUCGCACAACCCCUGCCAUCUUGCGGGACUGCCUGCAGAGAUGGGUGGUGAAGGCACUGGAGAGAUAAUACCUUUUCUGAGACUACAGAUGUAACCUGGGGAAAAGCGUCUCUGCUUUUGGCUUUCCCCUUGGGAUCUCACUGGCUCAUGGGCUCAGACAGAGGGUGGGGAGAGGUGAGCACAAAGUUGAGGGAGAAUCCCCGACCAUCGCACGACUGCUUUCCUCCCUCUCUGUCCCUUUUUUCUCCUUUCUACCCAUCCCUGGGGCUCCCUUUCUGGCAGUACUUUCCCCACGUCUUAGUCUAGUCUUCCUUGAGGUGAACUUCCCCUGCCGUCUGCCUUCACGCUACAGCAGCAGAUAGAUGUCAGGAAAAGGAGCCAGAUUUCUGAUCACAGGAGAUCCAAAAAUCUGACCCAUGUUACCUAGGAAAACAAGAAUGUUAAAAUGUCUCAUUGUAGUUUAUUAAAAUGGCAUGCGAGGUAUCUUGAGGAUUCAUCCCCUACCCUGUAUAAAGUGGGGCUACUAACACUGCAUGAAAAGGGGGUAUGAGAAAUCAAAUGAAAAAGAAUGGACAGAGCCUGGGAGAAGGCCUGGCUCAUAGAACUUGGCUCAGAACUGGCUCAUUGCCUCUCUCUCUUCCUAGGAGAGUAAUGGAAUGUUAUUAUGUUUUUUUCCUAGAGCAUGAAUUGUUUUAAUUAUGGAUGUUUUAAAAAUGUUUGUUAUUAAUCCCUUUCUAUAAAUGAUUAAAAAGGCUGCCUGUCUUCUCUGUGCACAUAGUUAAAAGCUUUUCAUCCUUAAUGUAAGCUCUCCAGAAGGAAAUGUUUGAAAGAGGAACCAUGUGCAGGAGAUGCCAAGAAGCUGUUACUGGUCAAGCAAACUGAUACCCAAUAUGAUUAAGACCCGCAAGUACUUACGACCAUUAUUUCACUGGUCACCAUGAUUCGUUAUUAGUUAGGAAAAAAAAAA
RNAcentral lists this long non-coding RNA (7210 nucleotides) under Sus scrofa (pig). RNAcentral describes it as "lncRNA (ENSSSCG00015000166.1)". The record is from RNAcentral. Lineage: Eukaryota; Metazoa; Chordata; Mammalia; Artiodactyla; Suidae.